AUUGAACGCUGGCGGAAUGCUUUACACAUGCAAGUCGAACGGCAGCACGGGUGCUUGCACCUGGUGGCGAGUGGCGGACGGGUGAGUAAUACAUCGGAACGUACCCAGUUGUGGGGGAUAACUAACCGAAAGGUUAGCUAAUACCGCAUACGACCUGAGGGUGAAAGCGGGGGACCGUAAGGCCUCGCGCCAUUGGAGCGGCCGAUGUCUGAUUAGCUAGUUGGUAGGGUAAAGGCCUACCAAGGCGACGAUCAGUAGCUGGUCUGAGAGGAUGAUCAGCCACACUGGAACUGAGACACGGUCCAGACUCCUACGGGAGGCAGCAGUGGGGAAUUUUGGACAAUGGGCGAAAGCCUGAUCCAGCCAUUCCGCGUGAGUGAAGAAGGCCUUCGGGUUGUAAAGCUCUUUCGGCAGGGAAGAAACGGCCUAGGUUAAUACCUUGGGCUAAUGACGGUACCUGAAGAAGAAGCACCGGCUAUCUACGUGCCAGCCGCCGCGGUAA
Molecule: ribosomal RNA, 502 nt
Filed under: uncultured bacterium
Lineage: Bacteria
Description: partial 16S ribosomal RNA
Rfam family: Bacterial small subunit ribosomal RNA
Source: RNAcentral